GACGAACGCUGGCGGCGUGCCUAAUACAUGCAAGUCGAGCGAAGUUUUUCUGGUGCUUGCACCGGAAAAACUUAGCGGCGAACGGGUGAGUAACACGUAAAGAACCUGCCUCAUAGACUGGGACAACUAUUGGAAACGAUAGCUAAUACCGGAUAACAGCAUUAACUGCAUGGUUGAUGUUUAAAAGUUGGUUUUGCUAACACUAUGAGAUGGCUUUGCGGUGCAUUAGCUAGUUGGUGGGGUAAAGGCCUACCAAGGCGACGAUGCAUAGCCGACCUGAGAGGGUGAUCGGCCACACUGGGACUGAGACACGGCCCAGACUCCUACGGGAGGCAGCAGUAGGGAAUCUUCCGCAAUGGGCGAAAGCCUGACGGAGCAACGCCGCGUGAGUGAAGAAGGAUUUCGGUUCGUAAAGCUCUGUUGUUGGGGAAGAAUGAUUGUGUAGUAACUAUACACAGUAGAGACGGUACCUAACCAGAAAGCCACGGCUAACUACGUG
Molecule: ribosomal RNA, 499 nt
Filed under: uncultured bacterium
Lineage: Bacteria
Description: partial 16S ribosomal RNA
Rfam family: Bacterial small subunit ribosomal RNA
Source: RNAcentral